Nylanderia fulva is the source of this 1085-nucleotide non-coding RNA. The record is from RefSeq and is a predicted model, not a curated record. Lineage: Eukaryota; Metazoa; Arthropoda; Insecta; Hymenoptera; Formicidae.
UCCGGUGUGCUUUGCUCGUGGAUCCGCAAUCAACGUUCGCGUUCGCUCGCUCAUCGCCGCGCCGGUCCUCUUCGCGAGUGUGAGUGAGUGUUAUAAUCAGUGUCUUCACGUCGUUCUCGACAUCAUUUAUUUAUUUUAUUCGAAUUAUCGUAUCAAUUCGACGCGACCGAAUCACGCGAAGUUGGCCCCGACGGCCGGCCAUCUUGCUCAAUUUCCCAUCGUUCCUUGCGUUCUUCGUGACUUCGCAUUUUCGUGCUGGAGACGUGGAGUCCGGGCGAGUUCUAAAGCGGAUUGGAUUACCGGCUGCGCUUUCGUAUUUUAAGUGUGUUUCCGCUCGUACUUCCGCGUUGUUGAAGUGUUGAAGUGUCAACGUGUUUAAGUGUCAAAGUGUUGAAGUGUCACUCUGCGACGAACUAGGCUCGUAUGUUUCGCAAAAAUCUCGGGUGAAUUUCCGCAACGGUCGCGCCGCCAUUUUGUCAAUGGUGUACUUCGACGUCGUUCGAGUCUCUCUAAUAUAUAAUCGGCAAAGCUUGUGCGCAAAUUCUUUGUCGAAUUAUUGAGUGAAACAUAAUUUAGUGAAAUAUAAAAUCAGUGAAGUGCAGUGUUCAUUUCUGGAAUAUCGGCGACUUCUGAGUGUGUGUGUGGACGAAAUCGCUUUGUCGGUCGAUGAGGCCCUCCGAGUAGCCUUGAAUAAUGCGGCGACGAAAAAUAGAGCUUCGGUUUUAUUCGCGCGCGAAUAAGCUCUCGUGAUUUUCGCGUUUUACCGAAACGCGUCGAAAAUGUGAUUGAUAAUUAAAACCCGAGCGUCGCCGCAAACGAAAAAAAGUAACGCGAGUGUAAAGUGUUUCAACGCUUUUUCGAGCACAGUUCUUGGAUACAGAGGUUGGUUUUCGACAAAUAAAAUGAUACUGCCGAGGAAUCUGAAAAAGAUAAUUCGAAAUAUAAAUUUAAGCGGACAACCCUGACAACUUUCAAGGAAAAGGAAGUUUCAAGCAGGCAUCGGGCACCAGCGGAGCAACCUGAAGUACAGACAAAGUAGCUUCGAUUUCAAUAAACUCCGCUGUUACGCAUCGGUGCUGCAUCGG